GAUGAACGCUGGCGGCGUGCCUAAUACAUGCAAGUCGAGCGAACAGACGAGGAGCUUGCUCCUCUGACGUUAGCGGCGGACGGGUGAGUAACACGUGGAUAACCUACCUAUAAGACUGGGAUAACUUCGGGAAACCGGAGCUAAUACCGGAUAAUAUAUUGAACCGCAUGGUUCAAUAGUGAAAGACGGUUUUGCUGUCACUUAUAGAUGGAUCCGCGCCGCAUUAGCUAGUUGGUAAGGUAACGGCUUACCAAGGCAACGAUGCGUAGCCGACCUGAGAGGGUGAUCGGCCACACUGGAACUGAGACACGGUCCAGACUCCUACGGGAGGCAGCAGUAGGGAAUCUUCCGCAAUGGGCGAAAGCCUGACGGAGCAACGCCGCGUGAGUGAUGAAGGUCUUCGGAUCGUAAAACUCUGUUAUUAGGGAAGAACAAAUGUGUAAGUAACUAUGCACGUCUUGACGGUACCUAAUCAGAAAGCCACGGCUAACCACGUGC
Molecule: ribosomal RNA, 498 nt
Filed under: uncultured bacterium
Lineage: Bacteria
Description: partial 16S ribosomal RNA
Rfam family: Bacterial small subunit ribosomal RNA
Source: RNAcentral